This 1475-nucleotide long non-coding RNA is filed under the name Anas platyrhynchos platyrhynchos (common mallard). RNAcentral describes it as "lncRNA (ENSAPLG00000029918.1)". The record is from RNAcentral. Lineage: Eukaryota; Metazoa; Chordata; Aves; Anseriformes; Anatidae.
UUUUCAGCAGCUGGCAUUUCCAGCUCCUGCACAGCACCAAGUGAGAGGCUGGAGGAAGAAAUAAAUAGAGAGGCAGGAAGAUAAAUCGAGAGCACCAGACAGACGGGUUUAUGUAGCAUUUUCAUGUAUCAUUGUUGGGUGACAUGGUGUGAGCUAUCUCUGUACUUACAGCCCUCCUGCUCUCCAGCAGCUUGCUCCCAGGACCAUGGUGAGCCCCUGCCAGGAGAUGCCGGCUGGAGUGGAAGGCAGAGGGCAGCAGGCUCAUGUUGGAGGCUUCCUGCAUGAUUGCACACAGUCAUGGAGCUGGCUGACCGGGGUUACCUUUGUCCUCUGGCCCUCAGAGACACCGGAUGAUUGGAGUAGCUUCCAGCCACCACAUCUGGUUCUCCUCUUGCACUCCAGGAAGAACCGAGGUGGUCAGAUUUGCCCUGGCUCAGCACGUGGGACUCUCCAGCAGGAGUCUAGCAGACGUUAAUGGGAUGGUGUGCCUCGGCCGAGUGCUCUCGCAGAUGGAUAGCCUCCUCUGAUGCCUGUCAUAUCAAUUGCUGCAGCCAUGUAAUCUGCUCCUCGGAGUGCGUGAUUGUGCCUGACCCACCGGACCUGAUGCCAUUCUGCUUCAUGUGCUCUUUGCUGGCCUUCUUCAAUUCAUGCCUCAGCAUACACUUACACUGAUCUCUGCUGCCCUACCAUCAGAUUUGCGGCCCCUUGGCCUUCAAAUUGCUUUCCUGACUCUCAGUGGGCCUUGGAAGUGUCCUUUCAUUCUUGCCUCUGAAAUCACAUUUGAGCUCUGCUUUGCCUCUCCUUCACUGCACUGUGGGGGAACUGAACUUUGCCUGCAGCUGGCUCACAGCUGCUUGAAGAAAGAAGGACCAGAAGACCUGAGUUUUAAUGUGUUUCCUGUAUGAUCCUGGCAGGUGAAACCCACCCUACGUGUUGAGAGAUGUCAUUUGGACCAGUAGAAGAGCUUGCUCUUUCUGCCUCGAUAUAUAGCUUUCACGUUAGCUUGCAGGGAAGCCUUCAGUCAACCUAGUAGGUCUGAUCCUGGUGGUACCCAGCUCCAGUCAUGUAAAGUCAGCCACUAAUAUACGUUAGAAGCAUGUAAAUGCGUCCUGGACAACUGCACCAUGGCUGUGCUGGCAGAGUGAGGCCACACAAUCUGGGGGUCAAAGCAGACUUCACUCAGGUACUUGUCUUCAUGCCAUGGGAAGGAGAGGAGCAGUACCGAGCUGGCAGCUCGUGGGACAGACGAGCUGCAGCUGGUUGGGAUAUCUGCUUCCAGGUCAGCCUGGGCAGGGGGAGAUCUGGCACUUGAAGAUUGUGCAGGAAUGCAAGACUGGCACCUUGCUGCCCAGAUCUUCAGUUCAAACUGGUAUGGAGGCUUUGCCCCCUGUGAAGCAGUGCAGUUGUUACUUGUCUGGCUCAUGAGCCCCCGACUUCUCACUGACACUAGUGAAAGUCCUUGUCAGGACAUGUUC